Molecule: non-coding RNA, 30 nt
Filed under: Homo sapiens (human)
Lineage: Eukaryota; Metazoa; Chordata; Mammalia; Primates; Hominidae
Source: RNAcentral
UGGCAAUGAUGACCCACUUGCCCUCACUGA